This 258-nucleotide ribosomal RNA is filed under the name uncultured bacterium. RNAcentral describes it as "partial 16S ribosomal RNA". It matches the Rfam family "Bacterial small subunit ribosomal RNA", at positions 96 to 354 of the family's 1533-position model. The record is from RNAcentral.
UGGCGGACGGGUGAGUAACGCGUGGGCAACCUGCCCUGUACUGGGGGAUAACACCUGGAAACAGGUGCUAAUACCGCAUAAGCGCGCAGUGCCGCAUGGCACGGCGCGGAAAACCCCGGUGGUACAGGAUGGGCCCGCGUCUGAUUAGCUGGUUGGCAGGGUAACGGCCUACCAAGGCGACGAUCAGUAGCCGGCCUGAGAGGGUGGACGGCCACACUGGGACUGAGACACGGCCCAGACUCCUACGGAAGGCAGCAG